GUAAAAAUCGAAAUUAAAAUCUACAUUCGAAAUGAUUAUAAAAGGGAACAUAGAAACAAAUAACUAAGACGUAAGGAUAUGCAAACACACACACGAGUAAAAACUUCUUGGAUCGCCCUGUAAAAUGAUGUGACGCUCUCCGUUAGAUGGGCAGGGGGAAACGACACUUCAUACAGACUUGCCACUACGAAUCACAAGCAGUCACAAUUUCAACACAUUCCGGCUCAAAUUUGAACCACUGAAUAAAAAAUGGCCAUUCUUAACGGACAGCGUACAUCUUUUGACGGGCUUCUCUUUCUCACACAACUUUGUCUUAUUGAAAGACUUUCACACGAUUUAAAUAUUGU
Drosophila guanche is the source of this 347-nucleotide long non-coding RNA. RefSeq lists it as uncharacterized. Lineage: Eukaryota; Metazoa; Arthropoda; Insecta; Diptera; Drosophilidae. The transcript has 3 exons. The record is from RefSeq and is a predicted model, not a curated record.